UUUCAACAAAGCAGCCAAUACGUUUGCUGCUGCAAGUACAACUUUUAUUCAAUAGAAAUCAAAAAUGAUUCCUGACGAGCACGCACAAAGGGAUACUCCCAAUUGCAACUGCAAAUGGCAAUUGUUCUUUGCCAUUAUGGGUGUAUUUUUGCUGACCAAUGGCUGGCAGUGGAUCAAUCAGAUAUUGGCAGCACUGCAACGCACAUUGAAACGCAAAUGGGUAGCACUUUCUUGGCAGCGCAAAGCCGCCUCGUUAUUCACAAUUGUUUUGUCAAUAUACCUAUGUAUAUUUGGCUGGUAAAAAAAAGAUGCAACAAGAAGAAGUAUUCGUAAGUAACAAAACAAAGCUGCAGAAAAUACACAAAGUUCAAGUAGCCUAUACAAACAAGCGACAACAAGUAAUAAAAACACAAACAUGGAAGCUGCUUUUAGAUAUUUAAAGUUGCAGCAAAUAUGGCAAG
This is a long non-coding RNA of Drosophila obscura, 461 nucleotides long. RefSeq lists it as uncharacterized. The transcript is spliced from 4 exons. Lineage: Eukaryota; Metazoa; Arthropoda; Insecta; Diptera; Drosophilidae. The record is from RefSeq and is a predicted model, not a curated record.